Molecule: unclassified non-coding RNA, 204 nt
Filed under: uncultured Sporidiobolales
Lineage: Eukaryota; Fungi; Basidiomycota; Microbotryomycetes; Sporidiobolales
Also listed under: 1 other name
Description: sequence contains ITS2
Source: RNAcentral
AACUCUCAACCCCCUCAUUUUGUAAUGAAGUGAGUCGUGGGCUUGGAUUAUGGCUGUCUGUCGGCUUAAGUGCCGGCUCAGCUGAAAUACACGAGUAACCCAGUUUGAAAAUCUGACGGCUUGACUCGGCGUAAUAAUUAUUAUCGCUGAGGACGUCUAGCCUUCAAAUCGUUAGUGGUGCUUCUAAUGCAAAUCAUUUUAAGA